Non-coding RNA from Podarcis lilfordi (Lilford's wall lizard), 73 nucleotides. The record is from the annotation of a GenBank genome assembly. NCBI's taxonomy places the organism in Eukaryota, Metazoa, Chordata, Lepidosauria, Squamata, Lacertidae.
UAACUAGCUCAGUUGGUAGAGAAGGAGACUCUUAAUCUCAGGGCCAUAGGUUCGACCCCCACAUCGGGCUAAA